Non-coding RNA from Podarcis lilfordi (Lilford's wall lizard), 67 nucleotides. The record is from the annotation of a GenBank genome assembly. Lineage: Eukaryota; Metazoa; Chordata; Lepidosauria; Squamata; Lacertidae.
UGUAACUUAGUGGCAAAGCAUCUGCUUUGCAUGCAGAAGGUCCCAGGUUUAAUCCCUGGCAUGUCAG